GACGAACGCUGGCGGCGUGCCUAAUACAUGCAAGUAGAACGCUGAAGGAAGGAGCUUGCUCUUUCCGGAUGAGUUGCGAACGGGUGAGUAACGCGUAGGUAACCUGCCUGGUAGCGGGGGAUAACUAUUGGAAACGAUAGCUAAUACCGCAUAACAGUAGAUAUCGCAUGAUAGCUGCUUGAAAGGUGCAAAUGCACCACUACCAGAUGGACCUGCGUUGUAUUAGCUAGUUGGUGAAGUAACGGCUCACCAAGGCAACGAUACAUAGCCGACCUGAGAGGGUGAUCGGCCACACUGGGACUGAGACACGGCCCAGACUCCUACGGGAGGCAGCAGUAGGGAAUCUUCGGCAAUGGACGGAAGUCUGACCGAGCAACGCCGCGUGAGUGAAGAAGGUUUUCGGAUCGUAAAGCUCUGUUGUAAGAGAAGAACGAGUGUGAGAGUGGAAAGUUCACACUG
RNAcentral lists this ribosomal RNA (459 nucleotides) under Streptococcus infantis. Its description in RNAcentral is "bacterial SSU rRNA". It matches the Rfam family "Bacterial small subunit ribosomal RNA", at positions 28 to 471 of the family's 1533-position model. The record is from RNAcentral. Lineage: Bacteria; Bacillati; Bacillota; Bacilli; Lactobacillales; Streptococcaceae.